ACGAGCGACAGCGAAGAGGGGAAGCACCGACCCGAAGACAAUGUUUUUUAGAGCAAUGUUAAAGGCCACGUCUGCCGGCAGUGUGAUCGAAGCUUGGGUUAUCAGACUUCAGUGCUCAUAGUUCUAGUACCUUUCGGACCAGAUCCUGAUCUUCAAUCAGACCGAGGUCUCUCCCUGCAGCCUGGGCAAUCCUCUUCCCUGCCACCAGGUUUCCCACCAUGACGGAUGCAGGACCGACACCAACUACAAGACAAAACAGUCCGAAAGAGAUAAAGUGAAAUAAAGCAGGAGGUAAAAACAAGACAGGGAGGCCAGGCCUCAAAAUUAUUGAAGCUGUGUGAGAUCAUCUUGACACAGAAACAAACAAAAGGCAGCAUCGAGAGAAGAGCUUUGAAUGUCCUUCAAGAAGCCUGGAGAACUAUUCCUGAAAACUACUUAAAAAAAAAAUAAAUAAA
Oreochromis aureus is the source of this 455-nucleotide long non-coding RNA. RefSeq lists it as uncharacterized. The transcript is spliced from 2 exons. Lineage: Eukaryota; Metazoa; Chordata; Actinopteri; Cichliformes; Cichlidae. The record is from RefSeq and is a predicted model, not a curated record.